GGCGGUUCUCGGGUGACACACCCAAGAAUCAGGCUCCCUUCUCUCUGGUUCCAGGUGUGUCACCUGAAAAACCUCA
Non-coding RNA from Myotis brandtii (Brandt's bat), 76 nucleotides. The record is from Rfam. NCBI's taxonomy places the organism in Eukaryota, Metazoa, Chordata, Mammalia, Chiroptera, Vespertilionidae.